This 487-nucleotide ribosomal RNA is filed under the name uncultured bacterium. RNAcentral's name for it is "bacterial SSU rRNA". It matches the Rfam family "Bacterial small subunit ribosomal RNA", at positions 30 to 512 of the family's 1533-position model. The record is from RNAcentral.
AUUGAACGCUGGCGGCAUGCCUUACACAUGCAAGUCGAACGGCAGCACGGGGCAACCUGGUGGCGAGUGGCGAACGGGUGAGUAAUGCAUCGGAACGUGCCAUUGAGUGGGGGAUAACGUAGCGAAAGUUGCGCUAAUACCGCAUAUUCUGUGAGCAGGAAAGCAGGGGACCGCAAGGCCUUGCGCUCUUUGAGCGGCCGAUGUCAGAUUAGCUAGUUGGUGAGGUAACGGCUUACCAAGGCGACGAUCUGUAGCGGGUCUGAGAGGAUGAUCCGCCACACUGGAACUGAGACACGGUCCAGACUCCUACGGGAGGCAGCAGUAGGGAAUAUUGGACAAUGGGGGCAACCCUGAUCCAGCCAUGCCGCGUGAGUGAAGAAGGCCCUCGGGUUGUAAAGCUCUUUUGUCCGGAAAGAAAAGCAAUCGGUUAAUACCCGGUUGUCCUGACGGUACCGGAAGAAUAAGCACCGGCUAACUUCGUGCCAGC